RNAcentral lists this ribosomal RNA (226 nucleotides) under uncultured bacterium. RNAcentral's name for it is "partial 16S ribosomal RNA". It matches the Rfam family "Bacterial small subunit ribosomal RNA", at positions 524 to 744 of the family's 1533-position model. The record is from RNAcentral.
GACAGAGGUGCCGAGCGUUUAGGCGGAAUCACUGGGCUUAAAGCGUGUGUAGGCGGAUCGUUCAGUGGUCUUGUGAAAUCCCACGGCUCAACCGUGGAACUGCUGGGCAUACUGGGCGAUCUUGAGCGACCUAGGGGCAGAUGGAACAGGCGGUGGAGCGGUGAAAUGACGUAGAGAUCGGGAGGAACAUCAGUGGCGAAGGCGGCCAUCUGGAUCAACACUGGAC